RNAcentral lists this ribosomal RNA (484 nucleotides) under uncultured bacterium. Its description in RNAcentral is "partial 16S ribosomal RNA". It matches the Rfam family "Bacterial small subunit ribosomal RNA", at positions 30 to 507 of the family's 1533-position model. The record is from RNAcentral.
AUUGAACGCUGGCGGCAGGCCUAACACAUGCAAGUCGAGCGGAUGAAGGGAGCUUGCUCCUGGAUUCAGCGGCGGACGGGUGAGUAAUGCCUAGGAAUCUGCCUGGUAGUGGGGGGUAACGUCCGGAAACGGGCGCUAAUACCGCAUACGUCCUGAGGGAGAAAGUGGGGGAUCUUCGGACCUCACGCUAUCAGAUGAGCCUAGGUCGGAUUAGCUAGUUGGUGGGGUAAAGGCCUACCAAGGCGACGAUCCGUAACUGGUCUGAGGGGAUGAUCAGUCACACUGGAACUGAGACACGGUCCAGACUCCUACGGGAGGCAGCAGUGGGGAAUAUUGGACAAUGGGCGAAAGCCUGAUCCAGCCAUGCCGCGUGUGUGAAGAAGGUCUUCGGAUUGUAAAGCACUUUAAGUUGGGAGGAAGGGCAGUAAGUUAAUACCUUGCUGUUUUGACGUUACCAACAGAAUAAGCACUGGCUAACUUCGUG